AGGACGAACGCUGGCGGCGUGCUUAACACAUGCAAGUCGAGCGGAAAGGCCCUUCGGGGGUACUCGAGUGGCGAACGGGUGAGUAACACGUGGGUGAUCUGCCCUGCACUUCGGGAUAAGCUUGGGAAACUGGGUCUAAUACCGGAUAGGACUACGGACUUCAUGGUUUGUGGUGGAAAGCUUUUGCGGUGUGGGAUGGGCCCGCGGCCUAUCAGCUUGUUGGUGGGGUGAUGGCCUACCAAGGCGACGACGGGUAGCCGGCCUGAGAGGGUGUCCGGCCACACUGGGACUGAGACACGGCCCAGACUCCUACGGGAGGCAGCAGUGGGGAAUAUUGCGCAAUGGGCGAAAGCCUGACGCAGCGACGCCGCGUGGGGGAUGAAGGCCUUCGGGUUGUAAACCCUUUCAGCGAGGACGAAGCGAAAGUGACGGUACCUGCAGAAGAAGCGCCGGCUAACUACGCGCCAGCAGCCGC
RNAcentral lists this ribosomal RNA (475 nucleotides) under uncultured bacterium. RNAcentral's name for it is "SSU rRNA". It matches the Rfam family "Bacterial small subunit ribosomal RNA", at positions 26 to 518 of the family's 1533-position model. The record is from RNAcentral.